ACCCCGAUUUCACCCCAAAUCCCCCCAGGACCCCCCAAAACCCCCAAAUUUCGGGGUGCCCUCAGAGGGGGCGCACGCGGCGGCGGCAGCAGCGGCAGCUGAGACACGGGGGGACCCCCAGACUCAGGACCCCCCAAAACCCCAAAUUUGGGGGUGCCCUCAGAGGGGGCGCACGCGGCGGCGGCAGCAGCGGCAGCUGAGGCAGCGCAGCAGCGCCAGGCUGAGCUGGAAAAGGGGGCCCAGGUCGAAGAGGAGGCGGUGGAAGGAGCGAACCCCCAAAUCCCCGCGGGGGUCGGCGAAGCGCAGCGCCAGCAGCGGCGAGUACAGGGCGUUGGUGGGGGUCCGCAGCGGGGGGCGGGGGGCGGCGAUCACCCCCGCGAUGGCCUGGGGGGCACCCCAAAAGGGUCAAAAAUGGCCCCAAAAAAAUAAAAAAAAAUCCCC
Molecule: non-coding RNA, 441 nt
Organism: Taeniopygia guttata (zebra finch)
Lineage: Eukaryota; Metazoa; Chordata; Aves; Passeriformes; Estrildidae
Source: RefSeq, a predicted model, not a curated record